This is a long non-coding RNA of Harpia harpyja (harpy eagle), 7134 nucleotides long. RefSeq lists it as uncharacterized. The transcript is spliced from 4 exons. NCBI's taxonomy places the organism in Eukaryota, Metazoa, Chordata, Aves, Accipitriformes, Accipitridae. The record is from RefSeq and is a predicted model, not a curated record.
AAAAUGUGCUAUUAUUGUCCUAAGAGCUGCUGCCAGGGCUUCAUUUCAAGGUGGCAAAACCCACAGCUAGCUCCAGGGAAAGGACAGCUAAUCCUGGGACGCUAAAUAAGAUAAAUUAAUAAAGCCUGAUACAAAAAUUAAAAGGUAACUGUAUGGCGCUGUUUUGCUCAGAGGAUUUCCAUCUUCCCUUUGCCUUGAGGCAAUAUUAGACUGAGGAGACUUCUGCAAGGGUUUCUACAUUCUGGUAAUGCACCAGUUCUCAAAAUGUCAUGCAAGACCAUCAUGCGUGGAAGUGCUGACCAGCUGUGGCAUGCCUGCUGUAGCCUGGGAGGAUGACGGUGAGCAAACAGUUCUUUUUGGCAGCUCCUGCGAGCAAAGGCAGCCCUGCGUGGCACACAGGGAUGCAGAUUUGGGGUCGCUUGGGGAACUCUGGCUGGUGCUGAUCCAGGUUUGGUGCUGGUCUGGGGAAGGGUCAGCCUUGCUGCAGCUGGAGGACGCUGUUGGUCCUGUUAUUCUCUUUGAAUGAGAAAUGGUUAAAUCGCUGGAAACUUCAGUGUAAAGGUGAGCUUCUACACAAAAGAAAUAAAUAUUUAGUUCCUCUGGUGAUUUUUUCCCCCCCCCCCCCAGUUUCUGCUGAUACACAGAGUUGAAUCCUAUGGGGUUCGUUUGUUUGGCGUCAGUGUGAUUCUGAAAAACCAGAAAGCACUAAUUGCCUUUCUAACCAGUUACUGAAUUUCUUAUGUUAGGUGGACUCUCAUGGGGGAAGAGUAAGUCUUUUGUUCUUAAGCAUUAUUUUAACCCAUGUUACAAUCUGAUUCGUUCUUUUUCAAGAAAGCGAGUAAACAGGUCAGCUUUGCUGCUGGCUGCUCCCGAUCCCCAGCAGAGACUGGGGAGCUGUGGUGCAAAAGCUGGUUUCUCAGCAGCUGGUGAGAAUCGCCGUGAACGCUGCUGGGGAGCUGCCGAGGCGGAGGAGCUGGUAGCACUCGGUUAAGCUGUUGCUUGGGCUCUAUGGUCGAGGAUAACUGGGCAGAAGCAUGAAAUUCAAGGAGUGGAUGUGAUGCCAGCUUUGUAUUUGAGAGAUUUCAGCUUCUCCUCUGGCAAGGAGGGUGUGAUGCACACCCUGCAAUUGUGCAGUGCCUCUGCCUGCGCCGGGGAGCAGUUGCAAGUGCGUUAAUAACCUGGCUGCUGUGUCCAGAGAAGCAAAUUCCUUCUGUGUGCUGAGCUGUGCUGUCUGGGGCAGCACCCUGACACCAGGGAGAAAUCAGAUGACUUGCACCAAGGGUUUGUGUUAAAAGAUGGCAGGUUGCUGCGAUUGCCAACGCCUAACCUGAUAACCAGUCAUGCCUCUUCUUGCUAUGAAAGAUGCUUCUAAUUUUUACUCCACGCUCUUUUUUUAUAUACCUCAUAAUAACUGACCGCAGUGUAAAAUUUCAGUUAAACACAAAAUCAGCAAAGAUGCAAAAUGGGAAGGGAGGUUUUUUGCAAUUUGUACUGCUGGACUCUGCGCAGAGCUGUGUUCAACUUGCCUCCUGCUACCUAUUAGAGGUGCGCAGCUGUGCUCAUGGUGCUUCCCGGAGGGAAAUGUUUUCUGUCCCCAUCAACGUGUUGGUGACGGGAGGGUGCCCCCAUGCUGGGUACCAGCCUGAGAGCUUUGCAAAUGGCAGCAGUAUCAGAAUUAUUUGGACACUUGGAGCUGCAAAGAGACAUUCAAGUCUGGUGGGGAGUUGUGGGUAUCUGUCCCUCUUUCCUGAGAAAAGCUCCUUUCUGAUGGUAAAAUGGCUUUGGGGGCACCUUCUUUCUCUUCCCUGUGUGGCUGCUGUUGCAGGGCAGUGAACUGUGCUGCUCUAAAGCAGCUGAGGAUCUGGUCCCAAGAGCUAAGUGACAGAGCACGUUAUCUAUGUGAUGCAAAACAAGAACAAUAAACCCCCCCACCCCCGUCUGUACCAAAUAGCUAGGGAUAGCAAUUGAAAAGCAUCUUCCUACUUGAAAACAAAGCUAAAAUAAGUUUUUAAAUUACUUUGUACGCAUUAAAAUACCUGAAUCGUCACCUUGUAAUUUUGUAAAUGCUUUAGAUGUUCUUGCCUUCCUUUUAUUCUAUUCUUCCCAUCUUUUAAGGCUAGUGGGAAGGUGGUGUAGUACAAACUGUAAUGCCUUUUUACCUUAUUGCUGCCUUAACUGGAUAUUUAUUGCCCAAUAUACAAUGAAGAUGAGGUGCCAAAGCCUUGAAUUUCCUGAGCUCAUUGUGAAAAUUGCAUUUUGUUUCUUCCUAAAGCUGAUGGUUACAGAUUCUGAAGGUGCACAGAUGCGAAGCUCAAACUUAUUUGGAAGCAAAGUGAUUUAUAAAGAGCUGCUGAUUCCCCUAAAGAACAGAGCUGGACUUUGACUUGCUGGUUUAUGGCAGCAGGUGGCUUGUGGGACCAGGCUGGGGAUGAUCUUCAGGCUGUUUUCCUACUUGCAGCAUCUCAAGCUGCCCAGACAUAGUCCUCUCUGGAGGAGCCUCAGCAGACUUUCCCUCUGGCUGUGCCUUUUACCAUCCCUGUGCUGGAGAGACUUUCCCUCCCUGGAGGACAACUGGAGGAUGCUUUGCUGGUGCUUUGGGUCUUUUUCCACCUGCAGGCACCUGCUCCAACAUCGUGGUCCGGUGACAUCAGCUGAAUGGUGGGCAUUUCUCUGAAUCUAUGGGAUGAAUGGAGAGUGCUCAGAAACAGAGGUUGAACGACAGCUGGAAAUGCUUGCUUUCUGCCAUUUCUGACAACAUCACAUCUGCAAGAUGAUAUGGGUGCUCCUUGAGGUAGGUCAUCACUGCUUUUGCACAUGCAAACUAAGGAACCGUGAGUACAAGUGAAAACCCGGGUGCUUAAACACCAGCUGGAUAAGGCUUGCUGCUUUGCAGGCACUGAGCUCCUGCAGGUACAUCUGCAGCUUCCCUUGUUGUUUGCAGUAGUUUUAUUCCUCAUACAGCACCGCAUAGAGUCAUCUGUGCCUGAUCCCUCCCAGCUGUAAAUGGGACAAUAUCCAUUGGUGAUUUAUCCUGCCUUUUCCUAUUUUGGACCUCACCCUAUUGCAUACAGAGACAUGGCUCUGUUCAGUGGGUCUGGUGAUUUUGCCUCUCAAAAGCAGUGUUCUCAGUGACUUUGAAAUGAUGUCCCCCUUUUCCCUUCCUCUUCAAUCAUAGCACAGGCAUAACUCAAUGAGAUCAAUAGUGACCGUCAUGAAAAUCAGAGAAGGAUUGAUCCUCCGUGAUCAUCACAGAAAGAAAUGCUGCAUUUGCUCUGUUUUCUGCAACUCAGCUUCCAGGCCCAGGUGUCCAUCUUCCCAGAGAGAUAACACCAUGUACUUCAGUCUUUCUCUGCAAGAAAGCUGCUCUGACACCGGCUCCACAAAAGCCGAUGGCAGUCUGAUCCCGUAAAUUUAUCAGUCCCCAAACGAGCUGCGGUGUCCGUCCUCAUGCACCUUUCUUCUCUGCCUGUUGGAUAAUGCAGAAGACCACGUAUGCUCCAGCAGCACCCUCCCCUGAACAAACCCUCCUGCCAGACCCCCAUCUUCUGUCUGCCUUUAGCUCCUGAUUAUGGGGCAAUUUCACGGUGCCGUGUGCGGUGGGAGCAGCUCUCUGGGUGUAACUGGUGCCUGCUCGUCCCCCGGCGGGGUGGUGGAUCGGUGCCUUCUGCACUCCGUGAAAUUCAGCCCCCGAGCCAGAGCUGGAGCUGCAGCCAGAGUACAUAAAUCUGCGAAACACUUCAUCGGCUGGUGUCUCGUAUGAGGGUCUCGAGCUGUCUCUCCCUGCGGAGGAUGAUCUUACCUGCAGAAACAUCCAGCUCAGCAGGUGGCUAAUUACCACCAUCAAAACUUUAUAGGCAGCGCGCUCAGGGGUAAGUUCUUGUCAGGGCAUGAGAAAUACAGUUUUGAAACAAAUCUCAUUUCAAAGCAUCCAUAACUUUUCUGAGCAAAGGCACAAGAGGGAGAUAGGAAUUGUUUAGGAGCCGAGAGCGGGAUGGAUGGUGACCACCUCAGGCUCAGUCCAAGAGCAACGCAGCGAGGAUGCGCCGGGGUGAGCCACCGCUUGCUGCGGUCCUAUCAAUCUGCUUGGCGCAAAGUACCAAAUACCAAGAGAUGAUGCUCCCUCUGAGCGUGGGGGCUGGCUUCAUACCUGCAGCCCCUCAUUCUCAUGCUCUCCCUGCUCCCAAAGGAGUUACCCACCUGCCAAAGGCGCUGGAGUAAUUCUCCUUGUUAGAAUAAAUUAUGAGGAUCACAGCCAGCCGCUCACUUAAUGCUAAAAUCACAGGGAGAUGAGACUGGCCACUUUGGUCCUCUCUGACCUUGAAAACCAAGCUGGCGAAUGCAACCUUCCAUUUCUUAUUGCUCUCCAGGAUUAGUGGGAUGAGGUCAGCCUGUAGCACUAAUUCACUUUGCUCUUAACUCAUUUCAUUACAUUACAGGAGAGCAUUGCACUUGGUGAGUGUAAUCUUCAAUGUUAUUCUCCUCUUGUCUUUGCUUUUGUUAUAAAUUAAAUAAGCUACUGUCAUUUUCCAACUAUAAAGAUUGAUUUUUUUUUUUUUUUUAACUAUACUGGGGCAAGCGCUGAUAAUUUAUACAUCUUAAAGUUGUUCACUUAGUUGUCUCUCUAGCUGGUUAUUUUGUUGGACCUUGAGCUGGCUGCUUUUUCCUUUUGCCAUGCUCUCAGGUGGCAGGCUCUCAGGAAAGAGAUGUUAAGUCUUCUCUUGGAAAAGAGACCUUAAGUCUUCAUACCUCCUGUUGUGAGGAGCACGGACGGACCUGAGAUGGACACUGGGCUCCUGUGAAUACCAAAAUGAGAGCUCGUGUCAGUAGGAUGCACUGUCCCUUCCAGGGAGAUGUCAAGGCUGGCUUGCGUGUGAUGCUGAUGUAUGUCUGUGUUGGCUGCAUGGUUGGGCUGUCUCAUCCCCAUCGCGAGCAAAGAGAACGCAACGUAGCUCCUUGACCAAAACGCAGCGUCCAAAACAACCCAAGCUGAGCAGAAGCCAUCUUCCAAACUAAAUGUUGAAGUUGGGUAUGUGUGACACACAGAUUCCCUGGCAGUAUUUGAAGCAUGACAAUAAUCCAAAAGGACAUACCUUGGAUUUAAAGCCUGGCUGCUGGUUUUAAAAUUGAGCUCUUCCACGAAGGUGGUACUGAAAGCUGUUCUUGGUUGUGAACGACAGGCUCCGGGAUCCACCCGUGCUCAGAUGUACCUCUGCUUUGAGCUGCUCCCAAGACAAAUGUGUCUGAGAGGGUUUACUGCUCAGACUCUUGAGCAGAUGGUGGUGCCUCCUAAACCAGACUGAGGUGGCCCCAGUGCUGUGAUCUUUUGGCCAUGGUAACUAGUAAUGCGCUAGAGCGGUGGCCAUGAACUUGCGUUGCUGAUCACCUAUGACAAAUCACAUGCCAUUAAGGUUUUUUCUUCUUUCUGAAGAAGCAGUAGCUUCAGUUCUCUUCUUACCAUGUUAUGCAUAAUCCAUAUAGCUGAUGGACAUGUGCUGGUUCAGGAGCUGCUCUGUCUUAGUGUGUUGCAGAAACACAAUUAACAGACUAACUCAUGUCCAGUGGGUGCAAACCCCCAUCUGGCAGGAUGUCAGCUGAGAAAUACAAGAACUGCAAGUGAUUAGAAACUGGAAUUUUUUAUUUUCAUAGGUAUAAUAGAAGGUGGAAUAAGUGAUUGGAAAAGCGGAACUUCUAGACUUGGCCUAGCUGCAAGGGGAGGGUUGGUUUGAUGAAGAUGAAAAGCCAAUUGGCUGAAAGUCACUGUGGAAUGAAAGAAAGAAGAGCCCAAACUAAAAAUGAUGUAUUUCCAAGAGACAAAGCAGAGUGGCUGUAGGGAAUGGCAGGUGGGACCUUCUGGGGAAGAUGCUAAGGAGUACGGGCAACUCCUCGAAGAAAUUUUCAUUGGUCUUAGUCAAAAAAGAGGUGUAUAUGAAGUAGACAAUAAGCCUGAUUACUAAAAAUCAGCAGAAAAGAAUGAUGAAAACAAAUGGUGACAAAAUGUGAAAGGCUGAAACACAAACCAAGGGACACGGGGGGAAGUGGUCACCAGGUGCACUGGAAGCAACGUAGGUGGAGGAUGGCCCUACCAUGCUGGCAUCAGCCUGGGAGGUGCAGGGAAACCAGAUUGGAAAAUGAACGUGGAACUAAACUACCUAAAAAAACGGUCCGAGAAAACCAGAAUGGCCGUCAGCGAGGGCAGCACCUGGUUUCACCGUCCAGCAGGAGCAAUCAGCAGCAGAAAUGUAGGGUGGGGAAGGACCAGGGAGCAGAGCUGGGGAAGAGGGCUCAGGGUGAGUCCCCUCAUGGGUGUGGGUCGCCUGUGCCAGGCCCCUGUGGAAGACCCACAUGCUGCACUGGGUGUAGAAACAGGAAUUAAGUCUUUAAGUUUGCUCAGCAGUGCUGGUUUUAUUUAUGCAUUUGUACUGACGGAAGAAAAAAAGAAAGAAAGAAGCGCCUGGGGUAGAUGGCCAGGGAGACUGUGACCUCUUCGUCACCGAAGGUUUUUAAGACAGGUCAGACAAGUAUCUCCUGGGAAUAAUUCGAUGAAGUUGAUUGUGGCCGGGGAAGUGGAUGAGCUCAGUAAUUUCUUGAUCACCUUCAGCCCUAUAGAUCUCUCUAGUUUUUUUUCAACAUUUAUAGCAUAACACUGUUCACAAGGCUGAAAUCCCCUACCCCCUGCUCGCGAUUAAUUUCCCAACAAUACUUUAAAGCAUCACGUUAAGGCAUCAUAAAGACAUUGUGCUUUUAGAAACAAUUAUUUGAUCGCUCCGCCAAUGCCUCAUUGCAGCCAUCCUAAUGAACGAUGAAACUUUAUUGUGUUUAGAGAUGUAGUACGUGGCACCGGCGGCCGCCGUCGCUGGGCUGGGAGACGGAAAAAGCACAUAAGCGUCUCGGCGCAAGGCUUCUCCUUGUCACGAAGCCUGUCCUCUGAUUUGGGGAGUGCAAAUUGCAUUUUAACAGAUAUAACCUACAGAAAAAAUAUUAUCAACAAAGGGAAAGAAGAUUAACUGCUUGCCUGGAGGCAACGUUUGAAGAUUUUACAGAUACGGCUGUACCUGCUACAGCCGGCACUCCAGUUACAGUGGGUACAGCGGGGAGAUGCGGCUCAUGAUAUACCAAAUAAAACGGCACCAUUUU